AUGGACCUACCUGCAGCUGAUGCUCAGUAUCACUCCAAGUGUUACAAUGCUUUCAGGAAGGUACCUAUUGACUCAAGUGCAACUGCUAGUAAACCAGUUGACAGCUGCCUAGCUUCGGUCAUAGACCACAUGAGUGCAAACAAGUCAGUGACUUGGACUGUCUCCGAGUUACAUGAUGUUUAUGUAGCUAAUUCUGGGAAUUUGUGCCGGAAGCAAAUGCUAGCCAACCUAUGUGAUUAUUAUGGUGAUGCCGUUAUUGUACUGAGAGUUGAAGGAUGCCAGACGAUUGUUGGCUUUAGGCAGUACAUAGGUAAAUCACUCAAAUUAGUAGGACAAACUGGCCUCUUCAAUGACGACGAUGAUGAUGUCAACAAGGUUGUCAGAAAAGUGCGGGCAGAGGUCCAGAAUAUUCCAUUGCCUCGUGAAUACGACCUUGGCAGCUUUACGCAUGAAAGGGUCAUUCAAGAUACAAGUCCAACUCUCCUAAGACUUGUCUCCAGUCUUGUGUCCAGGGAAGAAACGGUGACCAAACCAGCACUCACACUUGCUCAAUGCAUCCAGCAGCACAUCAGUAAAAGAUGGAAUCAGACAACUUUGGGGCUCGCUGUAAAACUUCAUCAUAAGUAUGGUAGUUCAGAACUGGUUCGGAACCUAAAUGAGCAUGGUCUUGUUGUAACAUAUGAUGAGGUCCUCCGGUUCCGGAAGUCAGCUGCCAAAUAUGCCUCAGAUGAUGCAGAUAAGUACCUGCGGGUAUUAGGACUGGAGAGGUGCAUUGGCCCUAUUCACAGUUGGGGUGAUAAUUUUGAUCUUGUAGUCUUCACACCCAAUGGUUGCCGCACAACACAUGCCAUGGCCACUCAGUUUGUGCAGUUGAGUUGCCCAGAUUCAGUUUUAACUCUUGCGUUUGGCGGAGUUUUAACGGGGUCCUUGUUGGAUCUUCCGACUUGCGGACCAACCUGGACAUCCCUUCUGCCAUUCUGGCAUGGCCCUAGCGACUUGCAGGGCCUGUCUUGUAUGGUAUGUAUAUACUGA
Molecule: long non-coding RNA, 1032 nt
Organism: Cyprinus carpio (common carp)
Lineage: Eukaryota; Metazoa; Chordata; Actinopteri; Cypriniformes; Cyprinidae
Source: Ensembl